Anabas testudineus (climbing perch) is the source of this 60-nucleotide microRNA precursor. Lineage: Eukaryota; Metazoa; Chordata; Actinopteri; Anabantiformes; Anabantidae. The record is from Ensembl.
AGUGGUCCUAAACAUUUCACAAUUUUGUUAAAGAACUGUUGAACUGUUGAGAACCACUUA